RNAcentral lists this ribosomal RNA (572 nucleotides) under uncultured bacterium. RNAcentral describes it as "bacterial SSU rRNA". It matches the Rfam family "Bacterial small subunit ribosomal RNA", at positions 102 to 665 of the family's 1533-position model. The record is from RNAcentral.
ACGGGUGAGUAAAGCAUAGGGAUCUACCCAUGGGACUGGGAUAGCUUAGGGAAACUUAAGGUAAUACCGGGUAAGCCCGCAAGGGGAGAGUGAGGGACUGGGGAACCGGCCCCACGCCGAUGGAGGAACCUAUGUCGGAUUAGCUAGUUGGGAGGGUAAAGGCCUACCAAGGCGACGAUCCGUAGCUGGUUUGAGAGGACGACCAGCCACACUGGGACUGAGACACGGCCCAGACUCCUACGGGAGGCAGCAGUGGGGAAUAUUGGACAAUGGGGGGAACCCUGAUCCAGCAAUGCCGCGUGUGUGAAGAAGGCCUGAGGGUUGUAAAGCACUUUCGUUGACGAGGAAGCCUGAUGGUAUGAAGAGUGCUAUUAGAAGACGUUAGUCAAAGAAGAAGCACCGGCUAACUCUGUGCCAGCAGCCGCGGUAAUACAGAGGGUGCGAGCGUUAAUCGGAAUUACUGGGCGUAAAGGGUGCGUAGGUGGCUGCGUAAGUUAGAUGUGAAAUGCCAGGGCUCAACCUUGGUUAGGCGUCUAAUACUGAGCGGCUAGAGUGUUGGAGAGGAUAGUGGA